Molecule: ribosomal RNA, 299 nt
Filed under: uncultured bacterium
Lineage: Bacteria
Description: partial 16S ribosomal RNA
Rfam family: Bacterial small subunit ribosomal RNA
Source: RNAcentral
UUCCUACGGGGGGCAGCAGUGAGGAAUAUUGGUCAAUGGUCGGGAGACUGAACCAGCCAAGCCGCGUGAGGGAUGAAGGUACAGAGUAUCGUAAACCUCUUUUGUCAGGGAGCAAAAAGCGGUACGUGUACCGCAUCGAGAGUACCCGGAGAAAAAGCAUCGGCUAACUCCGUGCCAGCAGCCGCGGUAAUACGGAGGAUGCGAGCGUUAUCCGGAUUUAUUGGGUUUAAAGGGUGCGCAGGCGGCGAGUUAAGUCAGCGGGAAAAUUUCGGGGCUCAACCCCGACGAGCCGGUGAAAC